CCUAGGGUCGCAGCAGUGAGGAAUUUUGCGCAAUGGGGGAAACCCUGACGCAGCAACGCCGCGUGAGCGAAGAAGGCCUUCGGGUCGUAAAGCUCUGUCAAGUGGGAAAAAAAUCUUUUGAUCAAUAGUCAAAAGACUUGAUGGUACCACUGGAGGAAGCACCGGCUAACUCCGUGCCAGCAGCCGCGGUAAUACGGAGGGUGCAAGCGUUGUUCGGAUUUACUGGGCGUAAAGAGCGUGUAGGCGGUUUAGCAAGUCAGAUGUGAAAGCCCUGGGCUCAACCCGGGAAGUACAUUUGAAACUGCUUCACUAGAGUAUGGGAGAGGAGAUUGGAAUUCCUGGUGUAGAGGUGAAAUUCGUAGAUAUCAGGAGGAACACCCGUGGCGAAGGCGAUUCUCUGGACCAAUACUGACGCUGAGACGCGAAAGCGUGGGGAGCAAACAGGAUUAGAUACCCUAGUAGUC
RNAcentral lists this ribosomal RNA (464 nucleotides) under uncultured bacterium. RNAcentral describes it as "partial 16S ribosomal RNA". It matches the Rfam family "Bacterial small subunit ribosomal RNA", at positions 338 to 795 of the family's 1533-position model. The record is from RNAcentral.